This 274-nucleotide ribosomal RNA is filed under the name uncultured bacterium. RNAcentral describes it as "partial 16S ribosomal RNA". It matches the Rfam family "Bacterial small subunit ribosomal RNA", at positions 523 to 796 of the family's 1533-position model. The record is from RNAcentral.
CUACGGAGGGUCCGAGCGUUAUCCGGAAGCAUUGGGUUUAAAGGGUCCGUAGGCGGGCAGCUCAGUCAGUGGUGAAAGUUUGCAGCUCAACUGUAAAAUUGCCAUUGAUACUGGUUGUCUUGAAUUAAUGUGAAGUGGUUAGAAUAAGUAGUGUAGCGGUGAAAUGCAUAGAUAUUACUUAGAAUACCAAUUGCGAAGGCAGAUCACUAACAUUAUAUUGACGCUGAUGGACGAAAGCGUGGGAAGCGAACAGGAUUAGAAACCCUAGUAGUCC